Molecule: ribosomal RNA, 1168 nt
Filed under: uncultured bacterium
Lineage: Bacteria
Description: bacterial SSU rRNA
Rfam family: Bacterial small subunit ribosomal RNA
Source: RNAcentral
AGUCGAGCGGUAGCACAAGAGAGCUUGCUCUCUGGGUGACGAGCGGCGGACGGGUGAGUAAUGUCUGGGAAACUGCCUGAUGGAGGGGGAUAACUACUGGAAACGGUAGCUAAUACCGCAUAACGUCUUCGGACCAAAGUGGGGGACCUUCGGGCCUCACGCCAUCAGAUGUGCCCAGAUGGGAUUAGCUAGUAGGUGGGGUAAUGGCUCACCUAGGCGACGAUCCCUAGCUGGUCUGAGAGGAUGACCAGCCACACUGGAACUGAGACACGGUCCAGACUCCUACGGGAGGCAGCAGUGGGGAAUAUUGCACAAUGGGCGCAAGCCUGAUGCAGUCAUGCCGCGUGUGUGAAGAAGGCCUUCGGGUUGUAAAGCACUUUCAGCGAGGAGGAAGGGUAGUGUGUUAAUAGCACAUUGCAUUGACGUUACUCGCAGAAGAAGCACCGGCUAACUCCGUGCCAGCAGCCGCGGUAAUACGGAGGGUGCAAGCGUUAAUCGGAAUUACUGGGCGUAAAGCGCACGCAGGCGGUUUGUUAAGUCAGAUGUGAAAUCCCCGCGCUUAACGUGGGAACUGCAUUUGAAACUGGCAAGCUAGAGUCUUGUAGAGGGGGGUAGAAUUCCAGGUGUAGCGGUGAAAUGCGUAGAGAUCUGGAGGAAUACCGGUGGCGAAGGCGGCCCCCUGGACAAAGACUGACGCUCAGGUGCGAAAGUGUGGGGAGCAAACAGGAUUAGAUACCCUGGUAGUCCACGCUGUAAACGAUGUCGACUUGGAGGUUGUGCCCUUGAGGCGUGGCUUCCGGAGCUAACGCGUUAAGUCGACCGCCUGGGGAGUACGGCCGCAAGGUUAAAACUCAAAUGAAUUGACGGGGGCCCGCACAAGCGGUGGAGCAUGUGGUUUAAUUCGAUGCAACGCGAAGAACCUUACCUACUCUUGACAUCCACAGAAUUCGGCAGAGAUGCCUUAGUGCCUUCGGGAACUGUGAGACAGGUGCUGCAUGGCUGUCGUCAGCUCGUGUUGUGAAAUGUUGGGUUAAGUCCCGCAACGAGCGCAACCCUUAUCCUUUGUUGCCAGCACGUAAUGGUGGGAACUCAAAGGAGACUGCCGGUGAUAAACCGGAGGAAGGUGGGGAUGACGUCAAGUCAUCAUGGCCCUUACGAGUAGGGCUAC